Molecule: long non-coding RNA, 710 nt
Filed under: Physeter macrocephalus (sperm whale)
Lineage: Eukaryota; Metazoa; Chordata; Mammalia; Artiodactyla; Physeteridae
Description: Physeter catodon (sperm whale) lncRNA (ENSPCTG00005013824.1)
Source: RNAcentral
CUCCAAUCAACUUCCGGCGCGAAUCCAGCGACAUUAUUCUAUUUCUCAGGGAAUUUAUGGCUCCCUGAGAUUGGCCCGGCCCUAGGAGGAAGCUUGUCUCCGGUGUACUGUAUCUGGAUCUCCAGCCUCCUGGCAGCAAUUCCGAGAGGGGAGAAGUGUGGCUUGGCCCAGGCUGUGCAGAAAAUCCGAAAAUUCGAGCGGAUCUGGCUCCGGACUACAUUUCCCAGACACCCUGGCGGGUAUAGGGCUGACCCUUCACUCGCCUGCGGAACCCUAGGCCUCCGGGGAAGAGGAAGUGCAAGCUCUGCUUUUCUCAGAGAGGUCCCCAGAGGAGAAGGAGGAAUGGCUGUUGACCAAGCCAAAUGCAAGACUAUGCAGAUGGAAACAAGCACCUUUUACCAGAAAUAUAAGCAAUAGGAUGAUAAAAAAAACCCCACAAAGGUAUUCUCAACUCCAUAUGGUAAGAGUAUGUUUGAUUUUGUAAGAAGCUGCCAAACUGUCUUCCAAAGUGGCUGUACCAUUUUGCAUUCUCACCAGCAAUGAAUGAGAGUUCCUGUUGCUCCACAUCCUGGCCAGCAUUUGGUGUUAUAAGUGUUCUGGAUUUUGGCCAUUCUAAUUGGUAUGUAGUGGAGGGGGCUUUUAUUAAGACAUUAAAACAUAUUUUAAAAUUAUAUAGAGAAUGUGGUACUGGCAAAAUAAUAAAGAGGUCA